CCGGAUUAGCUGAGAGGUGGUGCGAUGGCCGUCGUCAGUUCGUACUGUGAAGCAUCCUGUUAAGUCAGGCAACGAGCGAGACCCACGCCCACAGUUGCCAGCGUACUCUCCGGAGUGACGGGUACACUGUGGGGACCGCCGCUGCUAAAGCGGAGGAAGGAAUGGGCAACGGUAGGUCAGUAUGCCCCGAAUAUCCCGGGCUACACGCGAGCUACAAUGGUUGGUACAAUGGGUAUCUACCCCGAAAGGGGACGGAAAUCUCCUAAAACCAAUCUUAGUUCGGAUUGAGGGCUGCAACUCGCCCUCAUGAAGCUGGAAUCCGUAGUAAUCGCGUUUCAACAGAACGCGGUGAAUACGUCCCUGCUCCUU
RNAcentral lists this ribosomal RNA (369 nucleotides) under uncultured Methanosaeta sp. RNAcentral's name for it is "bacterial SSU rRNA". It matches the Rfam family "Archaeal small subunit ribosomal RNA", at positions 971 to 1338 of the family's 1478-position model. Lineage: Archaea; Methanobacteriati; Methanobacteriota; Methanomicrobia; Methanotrichales; Methanotrichaceae. The record is from RNAcentral.